RNAcentral lists this unclassified non-coding RNA (2326 nucleotides) under Daphnia pulicaria. RNAcentral describes it as "poly(A) polymerase type 3-like, transcript variant X1". Lineage: Eukaryota; Metazoa; Arthropoda; Branchiopoda; Diplostraca; Daphniidae. The record is from RNAcentral.
CGUGAAUUUCAAACAUCCGGCAACGUCUUACCAUUUGUCGUACGCCAUCGCUGGAAAACUAAAACCUUUUUUUGUUUCUUGAGUAGAUUUAAUAAUUACACGCUGUAUCCGCGUGGUUUAGUUUUAGUUGGAUUAAAGUCGUAUGAAAAAUGCUGUGAGGCUCUAAAUUGUGGCGAUACUCGAUAAUGCUGAAGAGAAAACUGUCAAUAUAAUUUCAGUUAACUGCCUCAAUUCCUAGUGUUAUAAAUUCCAUGUCAACAAAAAUGAGUGCUUUUUGGUCAACUCCUCCCGGGCAGAAUGCCCAAUCUCAACAAAUCUUGAAUCAAGCACGAAACUUGGGGAUGACUUCAGCCAUCAGCAUGGCAAUGCCAAAACCUCUGGAUUUACAAAAGACUACAGAGUUAAGUGAAGCUUUGGUCCCACAUGGAGUCUCUGAGACUGAUGAAGAGCUCAAUCAUAGGAUGGAAGUUUUGAGGAAAGUGAAUGAAUUGGCCAAAGAAUGGAUUAAAGAAGUGUCUGUACAAAAAAACAUGCCAACAUCAGCAGCCGACCAUGUUGGAGGGAAAAUUUACACAUUUGGUUCUUAUCGUUUAGGUGUCCACAACAAAGGUGCAGAUAUUGAUGCUCUUUGUGUUGCCCCACGUCAUGUUGACAGAGUUGAUUAUUUCACCUCUUUUGUUGACCUGUUAAAAAAACAACCAGAAGUUACUGAACUCAGAGCUGUGGAAGAGGCUUUUGUGCCUGUUAUCAAAAUGAAUUUUGAUGGAAUUGAGUUGGAUAUGUUGUUUGCUAGAUUGGCUUUGAAAGAAAUUCCUGAUAACAUGGAUUUAAAAGACGAUAUGCUUCUGAAGAAUUUAGACCCCAAGUGUGUUCGUAGUUUGAACGGGUGUCGUGUGACAGAUGAGAUUCUCCGACUAGUUCCAAAUAUCGACAAUUUUCGUUUGGCUCUCAGAGCAAUUAAAUUAUGGGCAAAAAAACAUGGAAUUUACAGUAACGUUUUGGGUUACUUGGGAGGUGUCUCCUGGGCCAUGUUGGUUGCACGAACGUGCCAACUGUAUCCAAAUGCUGCAGCAGCCACUUUGGUUCAAAAAUUUUUUCUCGUCUUUUCAAAAUGGGAGUGGCCUCAGCCAGUUCUUUUAAAACCUCCAGACAAUGUCAAUCUAAAUUACCCUGUGUGGGAUCCACGAGUCAACGUAUCCGAUCGGUAUCACCUGAUGCCAAUCAUCACACCAGCCUACCCUCAGCAGAAUUCCACCUUUAAUGUUUCCUGCUCAACGCGUGCUGUGAUGCAAGAGGAAUUUCGUCAGGGUUUUAACAUGACGGAAGAAAUCAUGACUGGAAAGGCUUCAUGGGACAAACUUUUCGAGCCUCCCAAUUUUUUUGUCAAAUACAAGCAUUUUAUCGUUUUGAUUGCCAGUUCUUCCAGUGUCGAAGAUCAACUUGAAUGGGUCGGACUAGUGGAAUCCAAAAUUCGACAUCUGAUUUUAGCACUAGAACGUAACGACCAUAUCACGUUGGCGCACAUAAAUCCUGAACAAUACGACCCCGUUCAGCCGGAGCCAGAUACUAUCAGUACCAUGUGGUUUAUUGGACUAGUGUUCAAAAAGACGGAAAGCCUCAACAUUGAUCUUACUCAGGACAUUCAAGCUUUCACCGGCCAAGUGCACCGUCAAGCAUCAACAGCCAAAACCGUCAAGGAUGGACGUCGGAUUGACGCUAAACACGUGAAAAGGAAACAGCUGAGUUCAUAUUUGCCGUCCACUUUUCUACUUCGCACCAAGCGUGUGGGAGGAAUGUCCUUGUCGACUUCAACUGGCAGUUUAUCCAACGGAACGCCUCCAGUGGCAACGUUUGCACAGCCGAGAAAGAGGCCGUCGGAUGCAGCUCUCGAUGCCGUCAUGAUGAAGAAAGUCAGAACAAGAGAAUCUGCUGACGGGACGAGGAACUUGGAGGGCGACGAGUGUCGCAGUCCAUUCGUUAUCAAUUCCAAUGACGAUUCGUGUUCUUCACUAUCUGUGGAUGACGUUCAAAACCCCUUCCCGGUCCCUGUCGAAGAAGUGCAACCCACCGAAGACGCUAAUGAUAAGUCAACGAUGGCAGCCAAUCAACAGGACACGUCACUGAAGGAUGAUAAUCCUCCUCCUCAACGACAUUGAGGGCUUGGUACCGGCAACCACUGAAGAUGAAACCUUCGCUUUACCUCUGGGGCCUGUUAAAAGACCGACUAACUUAACAUUGAGACGUAUGAGGCUGUGUAGCGAUGAAUUGCCAGAUGUCACGACGCCUUCACCCCGGGAGCCUCAUCCGACUCAUCCCACCAUCAGAU